GCCCCGGUGGCUCAAAUGGUUAAGCGUUCAGCUGCUAACUGAAAGGUUGGUGGUUCGAACCCACCCAGCAGCU
RNAcentral lists this transfer RNA (73 nucleotides) under Loxodonta africana (African savanna elephant). It matches the Rfam family "tRNA". Rfam says of the family: Transfer RNA (tRNA) molecules are approximately 80 nucleotides in length. Their secondary structure includes four short double-helical elements and three loops (D, anti-codon, and T loops). Further hydrogen bonds mediate the characteristic L-shaped molecular structure. tRNAs have two regions of fundamental functional importance: the anti-codon, which is responsible for specific mRNA codon recognition, and the 3' end, to which the tRNAs corresponding amino acid is attached (by aminoacyl-tRNA synthetases). tRNAs cope with the degeneracy of the genetic code in two manners: having more than one tRNA (with a specific anti-codon) for a particular amino acid; and 'wobble' base-pairing, i.e. permitting non-standard base-pairing at the 3rd anti-codon position. The record is from Rfam by way of RNAcentral. Lineage: Eukaryota; Metazoa; Chordata; Mammalia; Proboscidea; Elephantidae.